AGAGUUUGAUCCUGGCUCAGAUUGAACGCUGGCGGCAUGCUUUACACAUGCAAGUCGAACGGGGUGGCGGGGCAACUCGCCAUUCAGUGGCGAACGGGUGAGUAAUGCAUCGGAACGUGUCCCGUAGUGGGGGAUAACGCCGCGAAAGCGGCGCUAAUACCGCAUACGCUCUGAGGAGGAAAGCAGGGGACCCGCAAGGGCCUUGUGCUAGGGGAGCGGCCGAUGUCCGAUUAGCUAGUUGGUGGGGUAACGGCCUACCAAGGCUGCGAUCGGUAGCUGGUCUGAGAGGAUGAUCAGCCACACUGGGACUGAGACACGGCCCAGACUCCUACGGGAGGCAGCAGUGGGGAAUUUUGGACAAUGGGGGCAACCCUGAUCCAGCCAUGCCGCGUGCGGGAAGAAGGCCUUCGGGUUGUAAACCGCUUUUAGCCGGGAAGAAAAGGCGCGGGCGAAUACCCCGUGUUUUUGACGGUACCGGCGGAAUAAGCACCGGCUAACUACGUGCCAGCAGCCGCGGUAAUACGUAGGGUGCGAGCGUUAAUCGGAAUUACUGGGCGUAAAGCGUGCGCAGGCGGUUCGUUGUGUCGGUGGUGAAAGCCCCGGGCUCAACCUGGGAAUGGCCAUGGAAACUGGCGAACUGGAGUGUGGCAGAGGGGGGUGGAAUUCCGCGUGUAGCAGUGAAAUGCGUAGAGAUGCGGAGGAACACCGAUGGCGAAGGCAGCCCCCUGGGCUAGCACUGACGCUCAGGCACGAAAGCGUGGGG
RNAcentral lists this ribosomal RNA (763 nucleotides) under uncultured bacterium. RNAcentral's name for it is "bacterial SSU rRNA". It matches the Rfam family "Bacterial small subunit ribosomal RNA", at positions 8 to 766 of the family's 1533-position model. The record is from RNAcentral.